UACGAAGGGGGCUAGCGUUGUUCGGAAUUACUGGGCGUAAAGCGCACGCAGGCGGAUUGUUAAGUCAGGGGUGAAAUCCCGGGGCUCAACCUCGGAAUUGCCUUUGAUACUGUCUAUCUUCGAGUUCGGGAGAGGUUGGCGGAAUUCCUAGUGUAGAGGUGAAAUUCGCAGAUAUCAGGAAGAACACCCGUGGCGAAAGCGGCUCUCUGGAACGGUACUGACGCUGAGACGCGAAAGCGUGGGGAGCGAACAGG
This 254-nucleotide ribosomal RNA is filed under the name uncultured bacterium. RNAcentral's name for it is "partial 16S ribosomal RNA". It matches the Rfam family "Bacterial small subunit ribosomal RNA", at positions 524 to 776 of the family's 1533-position model. The record is from RNAcentral.